AACGCGAAGAACCUUACCCAGGCUCGAAAUACAGUGGACAGUCUCAGAAACGAGAUCUUCCGCAAGGACUGCUGUAUAGGUGCUGCAUGGCUGUCGUCAGCUCGUGCCGUGAGGUGUUGGGUUAAGUCCCGCAACGAGCGCAACCCUUAUCAUUAGUUGCCAACACGUAAGGUGGGGACUCUAGUGAGACUGCCUAGGUUAACUAGGAGGAAGGUGAGGAUGACGUCAAGUCCGCAUGGCCUUUAUGUCUGGGGCUACACACGUGCUACAAUGGUCGGUACAGAAGGCAGCAAUAUCGUAAGGAUGGAGCAAAAUCCGUAAAACCGAUCUCAGUUCAGAUUGUGGUCUGCAACUCGACCACAUGAAGUUGGAAUUGCUAGUAAUGACGUGUCAGCAACAGCGUCGUGAAUACGUUCCCGGGCUUGUACACACCGUACGUC
RNAcentral lists this ribosomal RNA (440 nucleotides) under uncultured bacterium. Its description in RNAcentral is "bacterial SSU rRNA". It matches the Rfam family "Bacterial small subunit ribosomal RNA", at positions 958 to 1398 of the family's 1533-position model. The record is from RNAcentral.